AGACAGACUAAUUAAUGUGAUGGAGGUCUGGUGUAUGUUAUGUCUGAUUUGCAACAGACUAAUGAAUGUGAUGGGGCUCUGGUGUAUGUUAUGUCUGUUCUGCCUCAUGAGGUGUCUCUCCCCUGGUGCCUGCUGUAUGGAGGCUAAGCCCAGCUGGGCCCAGUCCUGCUGCCUUGAUGAUAUCCAGGGCGGUUCUUCCUGCUAGACACCAGGUUCUUCCACUCCUUUUCUGUCACUAGAGUGGGGAUGUCUCUUGUCUGACUGCUAUCUACUGAUCUAAUAGGUGUGUAUUCAUAACACCCUGUGUGUGUGUGUGUGUUCACAUUCUUGUGUAUGCGUGUGCACGUUUGUGUUUGACACUUGAUGUACUUCAUGGUUACUCAUUGUUACGGUGUCGCAACCUGAGGCUUACAUAUCAGUCCAC
Esox lucius (northern pike) is the source of this 424-nucleotide long non-coding RNA. Lineage: Eukaryota; Metazoa; Chordata; Actinopteri; Esociformes; Esocidae. The record is from Ensembl.